RNAcentral lists this ribosomal RNA (372 nucleotides) under uncultured organism. RNAcentral describes it as "partial 16S ribosomal RNA". It matches the Rfam family "Bacterial small subunit ribosomal RNA", at positions 527 to 896 of the family's 1533-position model. The record is from RNAcentral.
GUAGGUGGCAAGCGUUGUCCGGAAUUAUUGGGCGUAAAGCGCGCGCAGGCGGUCCUUUAAGUCUGAUGUGAAAGCCCACGGGCUCAACCGUGGAGGGUCAUUGGAAACUGGAGAACUUGAGUACAGAAGAGGAAAGCGGAAUUCCACGUGUAGCGGUGAAAUGCGUAGAGAUGUGGAGGAACACCAGUGGCGAAGGCGGCUUUCUGGUCUGUAACUGACGCUGAGGCGCGAAAGCGUGGGGAGCAAACAGGAUUAGAUACCCUGGUAGUCCACGCCGUAAACGAUGAGUGCUAAGUGUUAGGGGGUUUCCGCCCCUUAGUGCUGCAGCUAACGCAUUAAGCACUCCGCCUGGGGAGUACGGCCGCAAGGCUG